This 325-nucleotide ribosomal RNA is filed under the name Clostridioides difficile. Its description in RNAcentral is "bacterial LSU rRNA". It matches the Rfam family "Bacterial large subunit ribosomal RNA", at positions 1434 to 1756 of the family's 2925-position model. The record is from RNAcentral. Lineage: Bacteria; Bacillati; Bacillota; Clostridia; Peptostreptococcales; Peptostreptococcaceae.
UAUUCCUGUACUACCGAUAACCGUUUGAGAGAAGGGAUGACACAGUAGGAUAAGCUAAGCACACUGUUGGUUAUGUGUGCCCAAGCAUUGAGGCAGUCAAAGUAGGCAAAUCCGCUUUGAUAAUGCUGGGAUGUGAUGGGGAGCGAAAUUUAGUAGCGAAGUAGCUGAUUUCACACUGUCAAGAAAAGUCUCUAUCGAGGUUAAAGGUACCCGUACCGCAAACCGACACAGGGGGGUGAGGAGAGUAUCCUAAGGCCAGCGAGAGAACUGUUGUUAAGGAACUCGGCAAAAUGACCCCGUAACUUAGGGAUAAGGGGUGCCACCA